UACGAUGAAGAGUUUGAUCCUGGCUCAGGAUGAACGCUAGCGGCAGGCUUAACACAUGCAAGUCGAGGGGCAGCACGUCUUCGGAUGGUGGCGACCGGCGCACGGGUGCGUAACGCGUAUAGAACCUACCUUUUACAGAGGGAUAGCCCAGAGAAAUUUGGAUUAAUACCUCAUAGUAUUAUAAAGUGGCAUCAUUUAAUAAUUAAAACUUCGGUGGUAAAAGAUGGCUAUGCGUUCUAUUAGCUAGUAGGUAAGGUAACGGCUUACCUAGGCAACGAUAGAUAGGGGUCCUGAGAGGGAGAUCCCCCACACUGGUACUGAGACACGGACCAGACUCCUACGGGAGGCAGCAGUGAGGA
RNAcentral lists this ribosomal RNA (359 nucleotides) under Lutibacter sp. HS1-25. RNAcentral's name for it is "bacterial SSU rRNA". It matches the Rfam family "Bacterial small subunit ribosomal RNA", at positions 1 to 360 of the family's 1533-position model. The record is from RNAcentral. Lineage: Bacteria; Pseudomonadati; Bacteroidota; Flavobacteriia; Flavobacteriales; Flavobacteriaceae.